Molecule: transfer RNA, 75 nt
Filed under: Flaviaesturariibacter aridisoli
Lineage: Bacteria; Pseudomonadati; Bacteroidota; Chitinophagia; Chitinophagales; Chitinophagaceae
Description: Flaviaesturariibacter sp. 17J68-15 tRNA-Arg
Rfam family: tRNA
About the family: Transfer RNA (tRNA) molecules are approximately 80 nucleotides in length. Their secondary structure includes four short double-helical elements and three loops (D, anti-codon, and T loops). Further hydrogen bonds mediate the characteristic L-shaped molecular structure. tRNAs have two regions of fundamental functional importance: the anti-codon, which is responsible for specific mRNA codon recognition, and the 3' end, to which the tRNAs corresponding amino acid is attached (by aminoacyl-tRNA synthetases). tRNAs cope with the degeneracy of the genetic code in two manners: having more than one tRNA (with a specific anti-codon) for a particular amino acid; and 'wobble' base-pairing, i.e. permitting non-standard base-pairing at the 3rd anti-codon position.
Source: RNAcentral
GGCUCCAUAGCUCAAUGGAUAGAGCGCCUGCCUUCUAAGCUGGUGAUCUAGGUUCGAUUCCUAGUGGGGCUACGA